GGACGGCACCCCGAAGCAAUGUAUUCUACUCAUGUGCUCAUCGUUAUGUUCUUGCCAGUUAUUUUGCUAUCUCUUCCAGGAGAAUAUGCAGGAGUAGAUGCGGAGGCUAGAACGAAUGUUUUGCAGUGUGACAAAACAAAAACUCAAUGCGAAUACCCUAGAGACUGCCAAUGCGAUGGCCGAUUACGUUAUGGAGAGCAAUGGGUAAACAUGUAUUUCUUCGAUAAAAACACGGGUCAGUGUGUCGGAGAUGCAUAUGACAACAACUGCAACGCAUUUGAAUCACAGAGUGCCUGCCAGGCAGCCUGCAUGGUACAAGCUUGACGAAGGAAAUAAUC
This is a long non-coding RNA of Dermacentor albipictus, 338 nucleotides long. RefSeq lists it as uncharacterized. The record is from RefSeq and is a predicted model, not a curated record. NCBI's taxonomy places the organism in Eukaryota, Metazoa, Arthropoda, Arachnida, Ixodida, Ixodidae.